Long non-coding RNA from Myotis davidii, 2381 nucleotides. RefSeq lists it as uncharacterized. Lineage: Eukaryota; Metazoa; Chordata; Mammalia; Chiroptera; Vespertilionidae. The record is from RefSeq and is a predicted model, not a curated record. The transcript has 2 exons.
GUGACAAUGACCGCCUGCGCAAGCGGGUGGAACAACUGAGCCGCGAACUCGACACUCUGCGGGGCAUCUUCCGCCAGCUGCCCGAGAGCUCCCUGGUCAAGGCCAUGGGCAACUGCGCGUGAGGCGCGCCGCGGCGGGACCGCCCUGGGCCGACCCCCGGCUGGGACCCAGGGAGUAUUUUCGUGGUCUCGGGAUCUCAAGACUGCCCACGCCGCGCAUGCCAGGACUAGGAGAUUCCGAUGCCGCCUGAAAGCCUGGACUGUCGCGCGUGCCCCUUGCCUUCUUCUGCGCGGGACACGUGCCCUCAGCAAGCAGAAGUGCCCAUUGGACAGAAAGAAAGAUGAAGGUAAAGAACAUCCUGCUGGUUUUCUUUAUAAAUUUAAUAAUUUGAACAUCAUAAGCUACUUCCCAUGAAGGGGGCUCCCAAACUGGCCCUGGAGGGUGGCCUCUGUGGAGAGUCUCCUGCAGUGCGGUCGCCCUGCCUCUCCUGUUGCCCACAGGCCUGGGCUUCUGUGGCUGGUGACCCUAACUGCGUGCUGGCUGCUCUGGCUGGGCCCUCCCUCCAGGCUGGUCCUUAGCUCUAGGUGACUGGCUUACAAAUUCUUGCAGAAUCCUAUUUUGAAAAGCCUAAACCAAAAAGAGCAUAUCACACUGGCUCGGCUCCCCAAAACACCUGCCCUGUGUUGGUGACUCACACAUAGAGCCAAGUGCAAUAGAGAAAACAAGUGCACAGCGGGAUGUGUCUUCAGGCACGGCUGCAUCCAGCAGCCAGCCUAUGUUGUCAGGAGUCCUCUCUCACUGCAUCUCAUGGUUUUGCCUGCUUUGUGCUGGCUGCAGUUUCCUGUUAGGCGUUCCCAGUAACCCAAAGCCUCUAAACAGAUACCCAGCAACCCAGAAUAGAGCUUCAGCUUUUGAAGAGUUUCAUCAAAAAUCCUGGAGUUGGAUUCUGCUGGACCACAGGCUCAUCACUGAGCCAGCCACUGUCCAGGAGGACAGAGGAUACUAACUGACCUUGUCCCUAUCCCCCUCCCCCCAUAUGCACAAAUGCUUUGGGGGAUGGGGAGGGAGUCAGCCCCAUUCACACUGCAUGGAAUGAGAGUGGGGGAGGGGAGGUACUUCAAGGAGAAUCCAGGUGUUGUGACUGGAUUGAGAGGAAAUGAUUCUGAGGCAGCAAAACAAGGGGGAACCCUGUCCCUGCCCUUUGUCCCAGGAAGAACUGAAGCUCACAGAGAGGGAGGAGGACUCAGGGUAAAUCCUUUGUCAUUGCCUCCAGGGACAAAGGGGUCCAUGACCACAGCAGAGGAAGAGCUUCUGGAGUCAGUGAAUGUAAUUCUGGCCCCACAUUCAUUCCUGACUUCUGCCCCUGAAGCUCCCAGCAGCCUCUCCCCACGGGCACUAGCCUCUCCAUGGGGUCUGUGACUCUAGCCCAUGGAGAUGGGGUGGCAGGGGAGACACACAGCAAUGGGCAGACUUCAGAAGCGCUGGGCAGAGCCCCUGCAUGGAGGGAGAGGAAGGGUUAGUGGCCUCUUGUCUCCUGAGGCCUCAAAGCCACCAGGUCCUGUCCCUGUGAACCCCUGGAGCUCCUUGAUUUCAGCCCUUCAGAGGCCUCCAGCCACUGGGAUGGGGUUGUGCUUCCUGUUCCCUGGGACCAGAGCCUGGAGAAGCUGCUGGGGGCGAAGGGCGGCGGGGUGGCGGGAGGGUGCUGGCUAGAGGAGGUGACGAGAGGACUCCUGCCAUCUGGCCUUGGAAGGGCCUCCAAAGGAAAGGUUGCCCCUUGUGCCCCUCACUCAUCUACACUCAAGGACACUGCUGGACAGUGAGGAAGGAAACCCCUUCACUGAACAUGCAGAUGCUUUCUUAAGCUGCUCUGAGGGUGGGGGGUGGGGAUGGUCCCCCCACCAGCCUGUCCAUCAGAUUAGGGGUAGGAAGUUCCCUGAGGCCGCUGGAUUUUACCCAGGUUUGCAGACUGUAGAUGGUGACGCUGGGACCCACCAUGAGGCCACCCCUUCAUAGCCUCAGUCUUGCCUCAAAGAAUGGGAGGUGAGGUCGCGAAGGAAGAGGGGAGAGGCCUGGGAGGUGAGAAGCGAGGCCUAGGGAGGCGCAGUAGCCCUCCUCUCCCCUGGGGGGGGGGGGGGCCAGAGCCCGGGGCAGGGAUGUGGGCGAUGCCAGGGCCCGGGCUGGCGAGCAGGGAGCCCGCCAGGGACCACGGGGAGGCUUCCUCUCCGUGUCUUCAUGCCACAAGAUGUAAAAUAAUCCCCUCGGCUCAGAAAAACACAUUUUAUGGCUGUCUGACUCAUUUCCCACAGAGCGAGGUUCACCCACCCUCCACCCCCAACGUGUAGAGCUUUUGUUUUGAAAAAUAAAAAAUAUGUUGAAAAUUU